GGCUUGCGCGUGUUGUCAUUGGCUGCAUCGCGUGUCGUCAUCGGUCAUGACCUUAUGGGAGGAGCGCAGAGGGGCGGAGAAAGGAAGCCGGAAACACAUUUAAACCAACGUUUGAAGAGUUGCUUCGGUUUGUCAGUACUGUGAGAAAGCUUAAUCACCGAAGAAGCCUGGAUGCUAAAACAAGCUUUGGAGCUGCUUUUUUGUCGAACAGGAGUGAGGCUGUACGCUGAAUACACCUGUAGCGUGAAGGUGUCACCACUUUGUCCACGGCACCGUCUAUGAUCUCAGAGACAUCGUCCACGAUCAGAGACAUUGUCCGUGAUCACAGAGACUUUGUCCAUAAUCUCAGAGACACUGUCCGCGAUCACAGAGACCUGAGGAAGACGUUCUUUGAGACCAGGACAGAGUCCUCCAGGUGUCACCACUUCGUCCACGUCAUCGUCCAUGAUCAGAGAGACAUUGUUGAGGAUGAGGGAGACAUCGAGGGAGACAUCGUCAAAAAUGCUGUGUCACCACUUCGUCCACGUCAUCGUCCACGAUCGCAGAGACAUGGUCCAUGAUCGGAGAGACAUUGUUGAGGAUGAGGGAGACAUCGUCCACGAUCAGAGACAUUGUCUAUGAUCGCAGAGACUUUGUCAAAGAUGAGAGAGAUGUUGUCGUUGAUCAGAGACAUUGUCCCAUGCUUCGUAGAGACCUUGCGAUAGAAUCGGCGGAGACGGGGGUCACCGAUUUGACGGCACUGCCCGCGAUCAUGGAGACAUUGUCGAUGGUCACAGAGACACCGUCUAUGAUCUCAGAGACAUCGUCCACGGUCACAAAGACAUUGUCCAUGAUCACAGAGACUUUGUCCAUAAUCUCAGAGACAUUGUCCACGAUCACAGAGACGUAGUCCAUGAUCACAGAGAGUCUUUGUACAAUGAAGAAGUUCUUUGAGACCAGGACAGAGGCCUCCAGGUGUCACCACUUCGUCCACGUCAUCGUCCACGAUCGCAGAGACAUGGUCCAUGAUCGGAGAGACAUUGUUGAGGAUGAGGGAGACAUCGUCCACGAUCAGAGACAUUGUCUAUGAUCGCAGAGACUUUGUCAAAGAUGAGAGAGACGUUGUCCUUGAUCAGAGACAUUGUCCCAUGCUUCGUAGAGACCUUGCGAUAGAAUCGGCGGAGACGGGGGUCACCGAUUUGACGGCACUGCCCGCGAUCAUGGAGACAUUGUCGAUGGUUACAGAGACACCGUCUAUGAUCUCAGAGACAUCGUCCACGGUCACAAAGACAUUGUCCAUGAUCACAGAGACUUUGUCCAUAAUCUCAGAGACAUUGUCCGCGAUCACAGAGACGUAGUCCACGAUCACAGAGAGUCUUCGCACAAUGAAGAUAUUCUUUGAGACCAGGACAGAGGCCUCCAGGUGUCACCACUUCGUCCACGUCAUCGUCCACGAUCGCAGAGACAUGGUCCAUGAUCGGAGAGACAUUGUUGAGGAUGAGGGAGACAUCGUCCACGAUCAGAGACAUUGUCUAUGAUCGCAGAGACUUUGUCAAAGAUGAGAGAGACGUUGUCCUUGAUCAGAGACAUUGUCCCAUGCUUCGUAGAGACCUUGCGAUAGAAUCGGCGGAGACGGGGGUCACCGAUUUGACGGCACUGCCCGCGAUCAUGGAGACAUUGUCAAUGGUUACAGAGACACCGUCUAUGAUCUCAGAGACAUCGUCCACGGUCACAAAGACAUUGUCCAUGAUCACAGAGACUUUGUCCAUAAUCUCAGAGACAUUGUCCACGAUCACAGAGACGUAGUCCAUGAUCACAGAGAGUCUUCGCACAAUUAAGACGUUCUUUGAGACCAGGACAGAGGCCUCCAGGUGUCACCACUUCGUCCACGUCAUCGUCCACGAUCGCAGAGACAUGGUCCAUGAUCGGAGAGACAUUGUUGAGGAUGAGGGAGACAUCGUCCACGAUCAGAGACAUUGUCUAUGAUCGCAGAGACUUUGUCAAAGAUGAGAGAGACGUUGUCCUUGAUCAGAGACAUUGUCCCAUGCUUCGUAGAGACCUUGCGAUAGAAUCGGCGGAGACGGGGGUCACCGAUUUGACGGCACUGCCCGCGAUCAUGGAGACAUUGUCGAUGGUUACAGAGACACCGUCUAUGAUCUCAGAGACAUCGUCCACGGUCACAAAGACAUUGUCCAUGAUCACAGAGACUUUGUCCAUAAUCUCAGAGACAUUGUCCGCGAUCACAGAGAGUCUUCGCACAAUGAAGAUGUUCUUUGAGACCAGGACAGAGGCCUCCUGCAGGUGUCACCACUUUGUCCACGACAUUGUUCACGAUUGCCAAGACGUCGUCUGCAAUCACAGAGACAUGGUCCAUGAUUGGAGAGACGUGCAACAAUUGCAGUGACGGAGUUCCUCAUACAAUCAAGGAAUUCAGGACUGAGGCCUCCAGAUGAAUCCACAGAAACAACAGGAUCCACCAAAAUGGUGAUGGUAAGAAAAUAUUUUUAUUUGAUAUAUUUAAAAACAGAUCAAUAAAAUAUUUCUGAAACUUCACAUCAACAAACAAUUUAUUCAGUUAUUAAAAUAUGAUUAGGAAAGAAAGACACUUGAACUGUCUCUCAAAUGUCAUUGAAAUAAACAAAAACAAUGUAACAGAAGUAAUAAGAAGUAAUCUGCCACACAAAAAUUCGGAAUAAGGUAUUAGCAAUCUGUCUUAUCAGGAGUAAUGUAAUUUAAAAGUCAUUUGUUAUAUCAGAAAAAAAGAUGUAACAGUCAAAUGUAUCUUUAGUAUAAAAGUAAUUUCCAUUAAUAAGGGUCUAUCUGUAAAUUUAGAAGUAGUUUAGGCGUCAAAAAUGGUCAAAAAAUGGCAUAGUAUAAUGUGGUGUCCAAAACGAUCAAAAAAGUCAUAGUAUAACAAGACAUGAAAAAAUGGUAAAAACAUGUCAUAGUAUAGGCGUUAAAAAUGAUUUAAAAAAAAUGUAUAGUAUGUCGUCAAAAAA
Lates calcarifer (barramundi perch) is the source of this 2978-nucleotide long non-coding RNA. RefSeq lists it as uncharacterized. The record is from RefSeq and is a predicted model, not a curated record. The transcript is spliced from 9 exons. Lineage: Eukaryota; Metazoa; Chordata; Actinopteri; Centropomidae.